RNAcentral lists this ribosomal RNA (478 nucleotides) under uncultured bacterium. Its description in RNAcentral is "partial 16S ribosomal RNA". It matches the Rfam family "Bacterial small subunit ribosomal RNA", at positions 28 to 507 of the family's 1533-position model. The record is from RNAcentral.
GACGAACGCUGGCGGCGUGCUUAACACAUGCAAGUCGAACGGGCUGCCUGGUGUUCGGAUCGGGUGGUGAGUGGCGAACGGGUGAGUAACACGUGAGUAACCUGCCCCUCUCUUUGGGAUAACGUCGGGAAAUCGGCGCUAAUACCGGGUAUUCUGGCUUCCUCGCAUGGGGUUGUUGGGAAAGGUUUGUUCUGGUGGGGGAUGGGCUCGCGGCCUAUCAGCUUGUUGGUGGGGUGAUGGCCUACCAAGGCGGUGACGGGUAGCCGGCCUGAGAGGGUGUCCGGCCACACUGGGACUGAGACACGGCCCAGACUCCUACGGGGGGCAGCAGUGGGGAAUAUUGCACAAUGGGCGGAAGCCUGAUGCAGCGACGCCGCGUGGGGGAUGACGGCCUUCGGGUUGUAAACCUCUUUCAGUGCAGAACAAGGCUCUUUGUGGGUUGAGGGUAUGCGCAGAAGAAGCGCCGGCUAACUACGUG